CCUACGGGUGACAGCAGUGGGGAAUAUUGGACAAUGGGGGGAACCCUGAUCCAGCGACGCCGCGUGAGUGAAGAAGUAUUUCGGUAUGUAAAGCUCUAUCAGCAGGGAAGAAAGAAAUGACGGUACCUGACUAAGAAGCCCCGGCUAACUACGUGCCAGCAGCCGCGGUAAUACGGAGGGGGCAAGCGUUAUCCGGAUUUACUGGGUGUAAAGGGAGCGUAGGCGGCGAUGCAAGUCUGAAGUGAAAGGCGGGGGCCCAACCCCCGGACUGCUUUGGAAACUGUAUGGCUGGAGUGCAGGAGAGGUAAGUGGAAUUCGUAGUGUAGCGGUGAAAUGCGUAGAUAUUAGGAGGAACACCAGUGGCGAAGGCGGCUUACUGGACUGUAACUGACGUUGAGGCUCGAAAGCGUGGGGAGCAAACAGGAUUAGAUACCCCUGUAGUC
RNAcentral lists this ribosomal RNA (443 nucleotides) under uncultured bacterium. Its description in RNAcentral is "partial 16S ribosomal RNA". It matches the Rfam family "Bacterial small subunit ribosomal RNA", at positions 338 to 795 of the family's 1533-position model. The record is from RNAcentral.